RNAcentral lists this long non-coding RNA (531 nucleotides) under Mytilus galloprovincialis (Mediterranean mussel). Lineage: Eukaryota; Metazoa; Mollusca; Bivalvia; Mytilida; Mytilidae. The record is from RNAcentral.
AGACGAGCUAUUAAAUGCAUACGGGCUUAUUUUAAAGCUACGUCCUUGCAUUUUAAUCAAGCUGAGUUCCUUCAAGCUCUUUAAGUCUGAAAAUGUAUUUGUAUGCAGUUGAUUUAUGUUGAGGCCGUUUAAAAACAAUCGUUUUAAUGAUUGUAGGCAUCUAAAUUUGUCUUUCAUGUCGGCAAAUGAUUGCAGUUGAGUAUAUGAAAGAUGUAAUAUCUUUAACUGAAAAAGGCCUUCAUCACAAAACGCAGGGAUUUCCGAUAACGGGUUGUCGCCCAGAUGUAACCAAGUUAAGCUAGAGAGUCCUUUUAGAUUCAAAUUUUGGCUUGAUAUUCUAUUCCAGUUUAUGUCUAGUCUGAACAACUCUUUUAAUUGUGCAAACCAUGUUACAUUUAAUGUUUCAAUAUCAUUGUUGGUCAUGGAAAUUUCAUGAAUCUUGCACCCUUUAAGUCCACUAAACAUGCCGUCAAAGGGUUUGAGUUUCAUGCUUUUUAAUACCAAUGUAUUUAUGUAACGUUUCGAUAGGCU